Molecule: ribosomal RNA, 303 nt
Filed under: uncultured bacterium
Lineage: Bacteria
Description: bacterial SSU rRNA
Rfam family: Bacterial small subunit ribosomal RNA
Source: RNAcentral
AAAGCAACCUGACGUUACCCGCAGAAGAAGCACCGGCUAACUCCGUGCCAGCAGCCGCGGUAAUACGGAGGGUGCAAGCGUUAAUCGGAAUUACUGGGCGUAAAGCGCACGCAGGCGGUCUGUCAAGUCGGAUGUGAAAUCCCCGGGCUCAACCUGGGAACUGCAUUCGAAACUGGCAGGCUAGAGUCUUGUAUAGGGGGUAGAAUUCCAGGUGUAGCGGUGAAAUGCGUAGAGAUCUGGAGGAAUACCGGUGGCGAAGGCGGCCCCCUGGACAAAGACUGACGCUCAGGGUCGACGCGGCCG